AGAAUCAACGCUGGCGGCGCGCUUAACACAUGCAAGUCGAACGAGAAAGCCCGCGAGGGUGAGUAAAGUGGCGUACGGGCGAGUAACACGUGGGUAAUCUACCUUUUGGUGGGGAAUAACCCUGGGAAACCGGGGCUAAUACCGCAUAAGCUCUUCAUUUAUUUGGGGAGGAAAGGAGCAAUUCGCCGAAAGAAGAGCCCGCGGCUGAUUAGCUAGUUGGUGAGGUAAGAGCUCACCAAGGCUAUGAUCGGUA
This 253-nucleotide ribosomal RNA is filed under the name uncultured soil bacterium. Its description in RNAcentral is "partial 16S ribosomal RNA". It matches the Rfam family "Bacterial small subunit ribosomal RNA", at positions 26 to 285 of the family's 1533-position model. The record is from RNAcentral.